AUCCCCACCGCCACGACCACACAAAUGGACUCAGCGAAGGUGAGUUUCGUCACUAUAGUGAGACUGUACUGACCACCAAACCGUUUAUAUGAAUACUUGGAUUGAGUUCAGAAUCUAUGUGUAUUAAGCUCUCUGUUUGUUGGAUUGUUAUGUCUAUAAGUGUAUUAAGCUCUCUGUUUUGUUGGAAUUGUUAUGGAUUAAAGUUUCAGAACUGAGUGGGAUAAAUUUGAUUACUUUUUCAAUCUUUGUGACCCUUACGAUGGAGCACCACCAUUGAGUACAAAAAAUGCAACGAGGUACUGAUUACGGAAGUGACGCUCUGUGCCAUUGCAAAACAUAAUCACGAUAAUGUCAGUGUUUCAUUAUACACUGCUCUCAAACAUUUUGGAAUUGACUACUGUAUAUGUACUUGUAUUGAUAAUGUUCAGGGAACAAACCUUGUGUUUGUUAAGCACGUCUUGGCGAAUUCCCAGUAUAUUAAUUGUUUGAUACACUUGCUCACAUUCUAGGCUAGAGAUAUGUCUUCCCCUUGUCCUGAGUCUAAACUUUAUCAAGUUAAAAUCUUGUAGUUCAAUUCAUAAUCACAAUUUUAGAGUCAAACCUACAGACGAAGGUGACUUCAUUCUUUAGUUUCUUUUGACCUUUGUAUGCUUUUACUAUCUGAGCUUGCUUAUGAACUUUGCAGUCACCAAGAUUACAUCUCAUGGCUCAAAUAAUUGAUGAACUAGGCAGCAAUAGACUGAUCUCUUUCCAUACUUGGUUUAUAAGCAUAUCAAUAUAUAAUCGUAAUUAGUUUCUAAAGACAGUUAAUUAUGUGUGUAUUGGGUAUGAUGCUAAUAAGUUUCAUCUUCUUUGUCUUGAUGUGUACGUAUAUGAUGCAGACAUGAUGGAAGCUCAUGUCCUCCCUUUCAGAUUAUGAAUUAUGAAAUCGAUGCUUUGUGGGAGGAUGUGUGUAAUACACUUUGUUUAUUGUUUUUUUUGCUUGUGAAGGCUUUCCUGAAAUUCAAGAAAUCCUUCAUAAAUAUUUGAGAAUCUUUUUUAAUUUUCAAGGCUUAUGUGACUGCUUGGAUUCUAUCUCUUAACAUGUUGGGUGAAUUUUUUUGCUCAUGCUGGUGACAUAGUCUUGGAAGUGGCAGGAAACACAGAGAUGCGGGUAAAGCAAGCAAAAACUGAACUUGUGUCAGCAAGUAAACUGAACAUAAUUAAUAGUUCGAAUGACUCCAAUAGAUUUCCACAACGAUCAGAAACUCUCAACAACUUAGACAACAUGAGCUUUAGAUUGUAAGGUAGCUGGUUCAAAGGGAUCUUAACACUGCCAAACCCUCCACCAGUACAGAGAUAGGGAACAAAGAGGAAGAUGCAAACCAUAUAAUAACAAAUCAGAAAAACAUAGCAGUGACUCUGAUGUUUUACUAUUUCAAUAGCAACUGUGCUGAUCCAACCAACAUCACAAUGCAUUCACUUCACUGUAUAUCCUCCACCUAUCCAAAUAUUAUUCAUUGUACCCAUUACUUUGUACCACCAUUGGAAACCAUUUAUGUCUUUUUCAUCAUAACGUGUUAAUUAGUUCA
Camelina sativa (false flax) is the source of this 1571-nucleotide non-coding RNA. Lineage: Eukaryota; Viridiplantae; Streptophyta; Magnoliopsida; Brassicales; Brassicaceae. The record is from RefSeq and is a predicted model, not a curated record.